This 76-nucleotide transfer RNA is filed under the name Candidatus Zambryskibacteria bacterium RIFCSPHIGHO2_02_38_10.5. RNAcentral describes it as "tRNA-Ala". It matches the Rfam family "tRNA". From Rfam's summary of the family: Transfer RNA (tRNA) molecules are approximately 80 nucleotides in length. Their secondary structure includes four short double-helical elements and three loops (D, anti-codon, and T loops). The record is from RNAcentral. RNAcentral also lists the same sequence under 6 other names. Lineage: Bacteria; Candidatus Zambryskiibacteriota.
GGGCCCUUAGCUCAUCUGGUAGAGCACCUCAUUUGCAAUGAGGGGGUGGCAGGUUCGAGUCCUGUAGGGUCCACCU